UAUUUAUAAUUAGCGCCUGGACUUUAUAAGUUGACGAGGUUUGUAAUUAUCGAAAGAUUCGGCGGAUGUUACAACGGGUUUUUGUGUUAAACGUUAAAUAUAUUAAAAAAAUAAAAUAAAUAUUAUAACAAAAAAUAUAUUAAACACAUAA
This 151-nucleotide non-coding RNA is filed under the name Mycoplasma sp. Its description in RNAcentral is "GlcN6P sequence". It matches the Rfam family "glmS glucosamine-6-phosphate activated ribozyme aptamer". From Rfam's summary of the family: This entry contains a glucosamine-6-phosphate activated ribozyme that is found in the mRNA for GlmS. GlmS is an enzyme that uses fructose-6-phosphate and glutamine to generate glucosamine-6-phosphate. Lineage: Bacteria; Bacillati; Mycoplasmatota; Mollicutes; Mycoplasmatales; Mycoplasmataceae. The record is from RNAcentral.